GGCCAGUUAGCUCAGCUGGUUAGAGCGUGGUGCUGAUAAUGCCAAGGUCGCGGGUUCGACCCCCGUACAGGCCA
This 74-nucleotide transfer RNA is filed under the name Albula glossodonta (roundjaw bonefish). It matches the Rfam family "tRNA". From Rfam's summary of the family: Transfer RNA (tRNA) molecules are approximately 80 nucleotides in length. Their secondary structure includes four short double-helical elements and three loops (D, anti-codon, and T loops). Further hydrogen bonds mediate the characteristic L-shaped molecular structure. tRNAs have two regions of fundamental functional importance: the anti-codon, which is responsible for specific mRNA codon recognition, and the 3' end, to which the tRNAs corresponding amino acid is attached (by aminoacyl-tRNA synthetases). tRNAs cope with the degeneracy of the genetic code in two manners: having more than one tRNA (with a specific anti-codon) for a particular amino acid; and 'wobble' base-pairing, i.e. permitting non-standard base-pairing at the 3rd anti-codon position. The record is from Rfam by way of RNAcentral. Lineage: Eukaryota; Metazoa; Chordata; Actinopteri; Albuliformes; Albulidae.